UACGUAGGGUGCGAGCGUUGUCCGGAAUUAUUGGGCGUAAAGAGCUCGUAGGCGGUCUGUCGCGUCGGCUGUGAAAACUCGGGGCUCAACUCCGAGCUUGCAGUCGAUACGGGCAGGCUAGAGUUCGGCAGGGGAGACUGGAAUUCCUGGUGUAGCGGUGAAAUGCGCAGAUAUCGGGAGGAACACCUGUGGCGAAAGCGGCUCACUGGACCACAACUGACGCUGAGGCGCGAAAGCUAGGGGAGCAAACAGG
This 253-nucleotide ribosomal RNA is filed under the name uncultured bacterium. Its description in RNAcentral is "partial 16S ribosomal RNA". It matches the Rfam family "Bacterial small subunit ribosomal RNA", at positions 524 to 776 of the family's 1533-position model. The record is from RNAcentral.